This 120-nucleotide ribosomal RNA is filed under the name uncultured bacterium. RNAcentral describes it as "partial 16S ribosomal RNA". It matches the Rfam family "Bacterial small subunit ribosomal RNA", at positions 29 to 141 of the family's 1533-position model. The record is from RNAcentral.
AGUGAACGCUGGCGGCAGGCCUAACACAUGCAAGUCGAACGGCAGCACAGGGGAGCUUGCUCCCUGGGUGGCGAGUGGCGGACGGGGGAGGAAUACAUCGGAAUCUGCCCAGUCGUGGGG